Long non-coding RNA from Phacochoerus africanus (Common warthog), 851 nucleotides. RefSeq lists it as uncharacterized. The record is from RefSeq and is a predicted model, not a curated record. NCBI's taxonomy places the organism in Eukaryota, Metazoa, Chordata, Mammalia, Artiodactyla, Suidae. The transcript is spliced from 3 exons.
UAAGAGGCAUGCCCAAGAGUUGAACUUGGCUGCCACACACAGUGAUUCAGCAAUUUACCAGUAGAAAAUACGACAGGGAGAGGAAGGAGAAUUUCUCAUCUGGGUUUGGAAGCAGAAGAGGAGGCAACAGAACACUAAAGGAAUGUUCCUCAAGCCAUGUUGCAGGAGGUAACACAUAUACAGCAUUGCUUCCUGAAAUUCAGACUCUGCCUCUCCAGACAACACCCAUUUUAUUAAAAUGAAAUAUCAACUCUUCCUAAAGUUGUCAGGUUAAAAAAGCAAAUCUUAAUGUGAACUCUAUCAAUCUUUCUAUGAAAUGAUUCAAUGUGGGUGUGAAAUGGCUCCAUGGAGAAAUGAAAGCUGAAACUCUUGAAACUUACCUGCUACCCUUCUGGCCCAGAGCCAGUUCAUCACUAAAUCUACACUGUGUUGUGUUUCUCUGUACUCCAGCCAGCCUUCUAUUUCAGACUUUGACACAAAUGACAGAGUGCUGAUAGUGAAGCCACAAAAUGUUAAGAUGAGGUCACUUGGAAAGGGGCGGAGGAAGAAAGUACAGGAUUUCUUGGUUAAGUAAGCAGAGACUCAAUUGCUGAAGAACCAAUAGGAAGAUUCCUUGCAGCCACUAUAUGACAAGCCACCGUCUUCACAAUCGCUAAAAUGACUUCUAGUCAUUUUAGAAGGACCACUUUUUGUCUUCUGGUAGAUAGGCAGUUGGGGAAUCUGCUUUACUGUUCACUCACUUAUUUCUUUAUCCAUCUGUCCCCAUACUAAUUAAUUCAAACAGACAUUUAAGAGCAAUUUUCACAGAGAACUCUACCCAGUGUUCUGUGAUAAUCUACAUGCAAAAAGAA